RNAcentral lists this ribosomal RNA (253 nucleotides) under uncultured bacterium. RNAcentral's name for it is "partial 16S ribosomal RNA". It matches the Rfam family "Bacterial small subunit ribosomal RNA", at positions 524 to 776 of the family's 1533-position model. The record is from RNAcentral.
UACGGGGGGGGCAAGCGUUGUUCGGAAUUACUGGGCGUAAAGGGCUCGUAGGCGGCCAACUAAGUCAGACGUGAAAUCCCUCGGCUUAACCGGGGAACUGCAUCUGAUACUGGAUGGCUUGAGUUCGGGAGAGGGAUGCGGAAUUCCAGGUGUAGCGGUGAAAUGCGUAGAUAUCUGGAGGAACACCGGUGGCGAAGGCGGCAUCCUGGACCGACACUGACGCUCAGGGGCGAAAGCGUGGGGAGCAAACAGG